Molecule: long non-coding RNA, 333 nt
Organism: Pelmatolapia mariae (spotted tilapia)
Lineage: Eukaryota; Metazoa; Chordata; Actinopteri; Cichliformes; Cichlidae
Exons: 3
Source: RefSeq, a predicted model, not a curated record
ACAAUGGGCGUUAUUAGCAGAAAUCAGUCCCAUAGAUAUGGGCCAUCCACCUGCUAGAUUGUUCAGAAGGUUGGUAUCAUCCAUCCAGAUGGAGGAUCACUGACAGGAGCGUGGAAGACUCCAGAAUCCACUCUGGCUGGAAUCCGGUGGAUACAGCAGUGUUACAGGUACAGUACGUGAUAUUAAGGGCAGGCGGUCAUCACUGGGGGAAGACAAGAAGCAGACGUACUUCCAAGAGGGAGCUGCAGUGAGGACACAGCCUGGUCACUGAGGUCAGAGGAGGCGCUGAAAGGUUUCCCUAAUAGUUCCUGGUGAAUCAAAGCAGAACCAUAA